CUCUCGAUUUACACUUGGGUUUUACCCAAACAUGACGGUUUCCUGUUUACCACAACAAACGGAGGAGGUUCUCAUACAUAAAUAUGAAACAACGAGUUUUCCUCAUAUUCGUUCGUGAACUUAGACGUGCUCAAAUCUGAAUUAGGUACCUAUAUUUUUACGGUCGCACGAUUUAAAUAAAAUGAUUGUAGUUAUUGUGGCGACGCUAGUUUCCAUAACAAUGGCACAACGGCCGGGUUACAUUGCGGAACCUACCUACCCCAAAUUGGCUAGUAGAUUUCGGAAUGACAACGAAGAAACAA
Molecule: long non-coding RNA, 302 nt
Organism: Photinus pyralis (common eastern firefly)
Lineage: Eukaryota; Metazoa; Arthropoda; Insecta; Coleoptera; Lampyridae
Exons: 2
Source: RefSeq, a predicted model, not a curated record